GACGAACGCUGGCGGCGUGCUUAACACAUGCAAGUCGAACGGUAAGGCCCCUUCGGGGGUACACGAGUGGCGAACGGGUGAGUAACACGUGAGCAACCUGCCCUUGACUCUGGAAUAACAGUUGGAAACAGCUGCUAAUACUGGAUAUUCAUCGUCUCCUUCCUGGGGGGUGGUGGAAAGCUCCGGCGGUCAGGGAUGGGCUCGCGGCCUAUCAGCUUGUUGGUGAGGUAAUGGCUCACCAAGGCUUCGACGGGUAGCCGGCCUGAGAGGGCGACCGGCCACACUGGGACUGAGAGACGGCCCAGACUCCUACGGGAGGCAGCAGUGGGGAAUAUUGCACAAUGGGCGCAAGCCUGAUGCAGCAACGCCGCGUGCGGGAUGACGGCCUUCGGGUUGUAAACCGCUUUCAGUAGGGACGAAGGGUGACUGACGGUACCUACAGAAGAAAGACCGGCUAACUACGU
RNAcentral lists this ribosomal RNA (464 nucleotides) under uncultured bacterium. RNAcentral describes it as "partial 16S ribosomal RNA". It matches the Rfam family "Bacterial small subunit ribosomal RNA", at positions 28 to 506 of the family's 1533-position model. The record is from RNAcentral.